This 304-nucleotide ribosomal RNA is filed under the name Clytia hemisphaerica. RNAcentral's name for it is "eukaryotic large subunit ribosomal RNA". It matches the Rfam family "Eukaryotic large subunit ribosomal RNA", at positions 675 to 954 of the family's 3401-position model. Lineage: Eukaryota; Metazoa; Cnidaria; Hydrozoa; Leptothecata; Clytiidae. The record is from RNAcentral.
CUGACGCGUGUGCGAGUCUUAGGGUGACAGAAACCCUCCGGCGCAAUGAAAGUGAAGGCGAGUUCGGCUCGUCGAGGUGAGAUCCGUCCCACACCGGUUCGGCGCAUCAUCGUCCGACCGUUUCUACUCUUAGAAAGGUUUGAGAAAGAGCAUACGUGUUGGGACCCGAAAGAUGGUGAACUAUGCUUGAGUAGGGCGAAGCCAGAGGAAACUCUGGUGGAGGCUCGUAGCGAUUCUGACGUGCAAAUCGAUCGUCAAACUUGGGUAUAGGGGCGAAAGACUAAUCGAACCAUCUAGUAGCUGG